Molecule: non-coding RNA, 29 nt
Filed under: Rattus norvegicus (Norway rat)
Lineage: Eukaryota; Metazoa; Chordata; Mammalia; Rodentia; Muridae
Source: RNAcentral
UCAUAGAGAUACACUAGGCCAUUGGAAGA